This 392-nucleotide ribosomal RNA is filed under the name uncultured bacterium. Its description in RNAcentral is "bacterial SSU rRNA". It matches the Rfam family "Bacterial small subunit ribosomal RNA", at positions 28 to 420 of the family's 1533-position model. The record is from RNAcentral.
GACGAACGCUGGCGGCGUGCUUAACACAUGCAAGUCGAGCGGUAAGGCCCUUUCGGGGGUACACGAGCGGCGAACGGGUGAGUAACACGUGGGUGACCUGCCCUCAGCUCUGGGAUAAGCCUGGGAAACUGGGUCUAAUACUGGAUAUGACUCCACGGUGCAUGUCGUGGGGUGGAAAGCCUUGUGCGGCUGAGGAUGGGCCCGCGGCCUAUCAGCUUCGUUGGUGGGGUGANGGCCUACCAAGGCGACGACGGGUAGCCGGCCUGAGAGGGCGACCGGCCACACUGGGACUGAGACACGGCCCAGACUCCUACGGGAGGCAGCAGUGGGGAAUCUUGCGCAAUGGGCGAAAGCCUGACGCAGCGACGCCGCGUGAGGGAUGACGGCCUCGG